This 491-nucleotide ribosomal RNA is filed under the name uncultured bacterium. Its description in RNAcentral is "partial 16S ribosomal RNA". It matches the Rfam family "Bacterial small subunit ribosomal RNA", at positions 29 to 507 of the family's 1533-position model. The record is from RNAcentral.
GUGAACGCUGGCGGUAGGCCUAACCCAUGCAAGUCGAACGGCAGCACAGUAAGAGCUUGCUCUUACGGGUGGCGAGUGGCGGACGGGUGAGGAAUACAUCGGAAUCUACUUUUUCGUGGGGGAUAACGUAGGGAAACUUACGCUAAUACCGCAUACGACCUACGGGUGAAAGCAGGGGAUCUUCGGACCUUGCGCGAUUGAAUGAGCCGAUGUCGGAUUAGCUAGUUGGCGGGGUAAAGGCCCACCAAGGCGACGAUCCGUAGCUGGUCUGAGAGGAUGAUCGGCCACACUGGAACUGAGACACGGUCCAGACUCCUACGGGAGGCAGCAGUGGGGAAUAUUGGACAAUGGGCUCAAGCCUGAUCCAGCCAUACCGCGUGGGUGAAGAAGGCCUUCGGGUUGUAAAGCCCUUUUGUUGGGAAAGAAAAGCAGCAGGUUAAUACCCCGCUGUUCUGACGGUACCCAAAGAAUAAGCACCGGCUAACUUCGUG